This 28-nucleotide non-coding RNA is filed under the name Mus musculus (house mouse). Lineage: Eukaryota; Metazoa; Chordata; Mammalia; Rodentia; Muridae. The record is from RNAcentral.
UCAUUGCUUGAAAGUCCCUAUAAUAAAA